Molecule: non-coding RNA, 746 nt
Organism: Cucurbita pepo subsp. pepo (vegetable marrow)
Lineage: Eukaryota; Viridiplantae; Streptophyta; Magnoliopsida; Cucurbitales; Cucurbitaceae
Source: RefSeq, a predicted model, not a curated record
CCAUGGUACUAAAAGAAUGUUGGAGCAUUCAAAAGUUGGUUCUGAGUUUGGAAUGUGCAGCAUUAAUAAAAAUCCUGCUGAGUUUAGCAUACCAGAGGCGGGAAAUGUAUACAUGAUAGGGGCUGAAGAUCUACAGUUUUCAAAAAGGAUAUCUAAAAAUACGCCUGACUUGAAUAACAUGGAUGGGCGCAAACGCAAGAGGAAUAUGAAGCAUGCUGUUGUAAGAUCAUCUUCAUGAAAAACAAGCUGCAUGGUUUCAACUUUUAAAUGGUUCCUUUCCAUUAUUUGGGAACUUUUAAAUGUCUUGCCGGUUAGAAUAUGAACUGCCAUUGCACCCAAGGAUAAUAUCUAUGGUUUGUUAGCUUCCCUACGCUAUUGUGUUCACCCUCUUUCUGGCACUCUCCAACGAAGACUGGCUGCAGAUAUGCCAUGUUCGGAAUGAGGCAAGGCCUGUACAUAAUAAGACUACAUGAAUCUUGAGGUUCAUCAGUACACUUAUUGUAUAUGCAACAAUUUUGGUUUGAUGUGUAUGUUGUACGUUGUUAUACUUAUUCACAAGGUUAUGUAUAUACACUGAGUCCUACUCUUUGGUUUUCGAUCGAGGGUAAGCUAAGUCGGUUUUUUGCACUGAUGAGGGUCAGCAGUGUGAGAAGGAAUAACAGAGAAUUAGCUAGCUAUUUCUCCUUAGAAUGAUGCUCAUUGUUGGAUUCUUCGUGUUGGGAAUACUAAUAUUUGUAGUUUUUGUA